UACGUAGGGUGCGAGCGUUGUCCGGAAUUACUGGGCGUAAAGAGCUCGUAGGUGGUUUGUCGCGUUGUUCGUGAAAACUCACAGCUCAACUGUGGGCGUGCGGGCGAUACGGGCAGACUGGAGUACUGCAGGGGAGACUGGAAUUCCUGGUGUAGCGGUGGAAUGCGCAGAUAUCAGGAGGAACACCGGUGGCGAAGGCGGUCUGCUGGGCAGUUGCUGACACUGAGGCGCGACAGCGUGGGGAGCAAACAGG
Molecule: ribosomal RNA, 253 nt
Filed under: uncultured bacterium
Lineage: Bacteria
Description: partial 16S ribosomal RNA
Rfam family: Bacterial small subunit ribosomal RNA
Source: RNAcentral